RNAcentral lists this ribosomal RNA (805 nucleotides) under uncultured Staphylococcus sp. RNAcentral's name for it is "bacterial SSU rRNA". It matches the Rfam family "Bacterial small subunit ribosomal RNA", at positions 76 to 866 of the family's 1533-position model. Lineage: Bacteria; Bacillati; Bacillota; Bacilli; Caryophanales; Staphylococcaceae. The record is from RNAcentral.
GAGCUUGCUCCUUUGACGUUAGCGGCGGACGGGUGAGUAACACGUGGGUAACCUACCUAUAAGACUGGGACAACUUCGGGAAACCGGAGCUAAUACCGGAUAAUAUGUUGAACCGCAUGGUUCAAUAGUGAAAGAUGGUUUUGCUAUCACUUAUAGAUGGACCCGCGCCGUAUGAGCUAGUUGGUGAGGUAACGGCUCACCAAGGCAACGAUACGUAGCCGACCUGAGAGGGUGAUCGGCCACACUGGAACUGAGACACGGUCCAGACUCCUACGGGAGGCAGCAGUAGGGAAUCUUCCGCAAUGGGCGAAAGCCUGACGGAGCAACGCCGCGUGAGUGAUGAAGGUCUUCGGAUCGUAAAACUCUGUUAUUAGGGAAGAACAAACGUGUAAGUAACUGUGCACGUCUUGACGGUACCUAAUCAGGAAGCCACGGCUAACUACGUGCCAGCAGCCGCGGUAAUACGUAGGUGGCAAGCGUUAUCCGGAAUUAUUGGGCGUAAAGCGCGCGUAGGCGGUUUUUUAAGUCUGAUGUGAAAGCCCACGGCUCAACCGUGGAGGGUCAUUGGAAACUGGAAAACUUGAGUGCAGAAGAGGAAAUAGUGGAAUUCCAUGUGUAGCGGUGAAAUGCGUCAGAGAUAUGGAGGAACACCAGUGGCGAAGGCGACUUUCUGGUCUGUAACUGACCUGAUGUGCGAAAGCGUGGGGAUCAUACAGGAUUAGAUACCCUGGUAGUCCACGCCGUAAACGAUGAGUGCUAAGUGUUAGGGGGUUUCCGCCCCUUAGUCUGCACUACCAGUUAAGCA